RNAcentral lists this ribosomal RNA (437 nucleotides) under uncultured Oscillospiraceae bacterium. RNAcentral's name for it is "bacterial SSU rRNA". It matches the Rfam family "Bacterial small subunit ribosomal RNA", at positions 341 to 792 of the family's 1533-position model. The record is from RNAcentral. Lineage: Bacteria; Bacillati; Bacillota; Clostridia; Eubacteriales; Oscillospiraceae.
ACGGGAGGCAGCAGUGGGGAAUAUUGGGCAAUGGGGGAAACCCUGACCCAGCAACGCCGCGUGAAGGAAGAAGGCUUUCGGGUUGUAAACUUCUUUUACCAGGGACGAAGAACGUGACGGUACCUGGAGAAAAAGCCACGGCUAACUACGUGCCAGCAGCCGCGGUAAUACGUAGGUGGCAAGCGUUGUCCGGAUUUACUGGGUGUAAAGGGCGUGUAGGCGGAGCUGCAAGUCAGAUGUGAAAUCCCGGGGCUCAACCCCGGAACUGCAUUUGAAACUGUAGCCCUUGAGUAUCGGAGAGGCAAGCGGAAUUCCUAGUGUAGCGGUGAAAUGCGUAGAGAUUGGGAGGAACACCAGUGGCGAAGGCGACUUACUGGACUGUAACUGACGCUGAGGCGCGAAAGUGUGGGGAGCAAACAGGAUUAGAUACCCUGGUA